AGUCUACUAAGUCAUCAAAGACACUCUUCAUUUCUGUUACAGUAUUUUUGUCCUCUGGCACUUCUUUUUGGUUCUUUCUUAGAAUUUAUAUAUCUCUGUAUGUGUUACCCAUCUGUUUUUGCAUGCUUUCUACUUCAUUACCUCAGGAUCUUAAUCAUGGCUGCUUUCAGUUCCCAGUAUGAUAACAUUCUUGCUAUACUUGAGUCUGGUUUCUGGUGCUUUCUCUAUCUCUUCAAACUGGGCUUUUUACCUCUAAGUAUGCCUUGUAAUUUUACCAAGUAAAAGGAACUGCUGUAAUGGGCUUUUACUAAUGUGAUGAUAAGGUGUGCUGGGGGAAGAGACGCAUUCUACAUUCCUGCAGGUAGGUCCCAGUUUAGUGAGUCUGUGCUUCUGGACUGAACUUCACAAGUGCUUCUCAGUCCUCUGUCUUCCAUCAGGUUGGAACAGGAUGUCUCUAGUGGGCUGGAGUUGGGUAUUUUCUCUUCUCCCACUUUAGUUAGGCUCUGAUAUAUUCCCAGCAGAUUAGGCUGUGAUUAAAUGGUUUCUGGUAAGGACUUUCCUGGAGGUCCUCUGGUUAAGAUUCUGGUUAACUGCAGGGGCAAGGGCUCCAUCACUGGUCAGGGGACCCUCAUAAGUUGUGCAGCACAGCCAAAAAAAAAAAAAAAAAAAAAAAAAGGUUUCUGCUGAGGGCAGACCCUGUUAAGAACAAUAGAGUAAUCUGGCAUGUUUCAAAAUAGUUCCUUUUCCCUUCCCUCUGCCAGAAGCAUGAGCAAAUUCUUUGCUGAUCUUCACUGUGAGAACCUGCUUGAACUCCAGGAGAUAAAAGUUGUUAAACUAUGAGAGUCCACCCCUGAUCAAGUCCCCUUGGAAUUUUAAACACUCAGACUUGUCCACAUUGAGCCUCUGGCAAUUUGUCAAUUACAGUUCAGGAUUUCUACCCUGGCUCUGGUUCCCACAGAGGUUUUUGCUCUGUGUAAAAAUCUGAGCAUCAGGAUUCAACACACUCUUGGAAAGCAUUUUCUACCUCCCGCUGCUGUGCAAGCAUUUUCACUGCAAAAAGUUGUUGAGAUGCUUGAACUGGUGAUAGUCGGUUGACAAGAGGUAAGGUGAAUAUGGCAAAACUCAAUCAUUCCACUUUUGAAGCACUGGUUGUGCGAUGUGCAGUCAGGCAUUGUCCUGCAGAAGAAUUGGGGCCUUUCUGUUGACCAAUGCUGGCUGUAGGCAUUGCAGUUUUUGGUGCAUCUAUCAAUUUGCUGAGCAUACUUCUCAAAUGUAGUGGUUUUGCUAGGAUUCAGAAAACUGUAGUGGAUCAAAUGGGCAGCAGACCACCUAGACAGGGACCAUGACUUCUUUUUGGUGCAAGUUUAGUUUGGACAAGUUCUUUGGAGCUUCUUCUCAGUCCAACCAUUGAGCUGGCCAUUGCUGGUGGUUGCAUAAAAUCCACUUUUUGUUGCAUGUCACAAUCCAAUCAAGAAGUGAUUUGCUGUUUUUGAGUAGAAUAAGAGAAUAUGUCACUUCAGAGCAAUGAUUUUUUUUUUUUUAAUUUUGAUGAGCUCAUGAAGCACCCUCUCAUUGAGGUUUGCAUCUUUCCAAUUUGUUCCAAAUGCUGAAUGACUGUAGAAUGGUUGGUGUUGAGUUGUUCGGCAACUUCUCAUGUAGUUUUAAGAGGGUGAGUUUUGAUGAUUGCUCUAAUUGGUUGUCAACUUUCAAUGACCAACCACUGCACUCCUCAUCUUCAAGGCUUUUGUCUCCUUUGCAAAACUUCUUGAAUCAUCACUGCACUGUACAUUCAUUAGCAGUUCCUGGGCCAAAUGUGUUGUUGAUGUUCUGAGUUGUCUCCACUGGCUUAUGAUCCAUUUUUAACUUGAAUGAGAAAUAUAAAAUAAAUAGCAUGUAAUAAGUCAUUAGCAAAAAAAAAAAGGCAAGAAAGGUGCCUUAAAUUGAUGUAUAACAUAACCACAUUUAUUUAAGAAUGUAUGUCAGUAUCAAAUGGUGAAGUUCAACAAUGCAAAACUACAACUGCUUUGGCACCAAUCUAAUAUAGAGAACACAAUGUAUUAUUAUAUAAAUUAUGAAAUUGGAAUUAUUUUUUGCCUCUACUCUUUUUAUUGGCUUGAAAUCAUAGUUUUGCCUCUGUGUAAGUCUUUAGUCUGCAUCCUCUUAGCAGAUUUCUCAGCUGUUAGCCUGGACAUUCUCCAGAGUUCUCUCAAGUCCUAGACUCAAUGCUGCCAGUCUUCUGAGUCAGGUCCUGAUAAAUUUGUUGCAGCAGUAUUCUCAAGUGUCACAUAUGCUGCUUCCAAAAUUGAAAUAGACUAACCAAACUGUUGCACUCCUUUCUUAGUGGCAGCAUAUACAAGAUAUAAUAACCUGCUCUUUACCUUAACUGGGAUAUCCUAAAAAUCACUGGCUCUUAAGACCCUCUCUGAUGAUCUGGCCUAUAAAUGUUGGGAGGUUUAUCUUCCACCCUCUAGUUUCAAAGUGUCUGGUGAGGCCAUCCAGAGUACUUGUGCUUUAUACUUAUUGGUUCCAAUUUGUAUUUCAAAUUCUCUCUACAUAGAACCAGAGUGACACUGUGCAGAGUAUGAAGCAUCCUGUAUACUAUAUUAUGACAGAGAGCAAGCAGUUAACAAAGCCUUGGACCAUGAAUGUGAAUGCUUUUUGAUUGCCAUUGUCAUGUAAAGGCAGACUUAUUUUUAAAAUUAUAUUUAUUUGUAGGGAUGGCAAAAAUAUGUUUGAGGGAUCAGUAGAUUCCUACUCUGUGUUUUAUGUUGUGUUGACGUGUUUGAGUGAAAAUAACACAUCUACAUUACAGCUGUAAAUGGAGUCCCUUUGUUGAGUCUAUGGUAUUCCAUUGUCAUCCGUAUAGUUUUUACAAAAUAGGCCUAUCAUGUAUGAUAGAAAAAGACCACGUUAACUACACAUUUUUGUUCUGUUUGAGGAAAUAUUCCAAAGACACUCUUUAAUGCUUAUACAUUUGUCCUCUUGGUGCUUUAUUUCUCUUAGAAGUGAUGGGAACAACAAAAAUAAGAGAAUUCAUGGCCCUGAUUAUCCUUAGCUUUUUUUGUCUGGGUAAUCCAUUUUUUUUUAUAUUUAGGAUACAUUGUUUCCGGCUGAAUCACAAGAUUAUUUAAGAUGGAAAUAAUCUGUCCUAAACAUAGGUAUUAUAUUAUGUAGCUCAGGGCUUUUAAAAUCUGACUGUGGACACUUUUUUUUUUAGUAGCUCUGCUGUCCAUUUACCCAAGUAAACAGAAUUUCCAAGCAUUAGUCUAGUCAUCUGAACUUCCAGCAAACGCCUUAGCUGAUUCUUGUUCUAUUAGGUUGAAAACUUAAGAGUUAAUUGUUUCUCUUUGUCUUAAACCAUCACUUUCAAAGUUCUAUUUUGAUAAUAUUUUCUUGCUUCACUCAUACUCAUGAGAUACAUGUUAAGAUGAUAGCUUAGGGCCUAAGAAAAUAAUAUAAAUCUCGAUUAACUAAUUUUUAUUAUUAUAUAACUAUAGUCUCUUUUUCUAGAACUCUGUGGCCUUCGAACAGUAAGAUCAUCAGUUUCUGGUGCUGGUUAUUUAUGUAAUGGACUUCUUUCUCAAUUUCAUUCUUAGAAUCUAAGUUCAUACAGGAAAAGAAAUAAAUCUUUACAGAGGAUUUGGAUUAUAUCAAGUCUGUGAUUUUAAAGGUAUGGUUCUUUAGGCUUAGGAUUUUCCUUCCUUGUACACUUUUAAAUAUUACAGUAUGGUCGUAGAACUGUUUGAAGUUUGAAAAUGUGAGUCUCUUAACAUACAAAGUUGUUGUUAAUCUUAGGAUCCUAGCAUGGAAACUGAAAAACAAAGAAAGCUCUGUAUGUACUCUGUGUUAGGCCAAUCUGAAUAUAUUCACAUUACUCAAUAUCAUUUCAUGCUUUUAGCACAACUGGUUUUGCUUAUUUUUUUUAAACAAUUUUGUUUGUUUACUUAUUAGUAAUAUUUGCAAAAUUUUAAAAAUACAGAACCUCCAAAAAGAAAAAGUACAAUCUCUGUCCCAUUUCUUUUGACUAUUUCUAGUUUUAGUUCUUGUAGUUCUUCCACAAAUGUAUGUGCACUUAGCAUAAUGAGGUGGCUAAAGUGUGGAGUCUGGGUUUAAAUCCUGGCUUCACUGCUUAUUAGCUUAAUGACCUUUGGCUUAUUAACCUUUUGUAACUCUGUAAAAUAGAGAUGAAAGUAUCAACUUUAUAGAUUGUAAUACAUUACAAUAGUUUAGAAUAGUAUUUGCCAUGUAAUAUAUCUUCUUAAUACCUCCCAGUUUCUAAAUACUAUAGUUACAUCACUCUUUUUUGAAUCAUUAAUUUGAACUAUUUUCUAUUGAUGAGAUGAAGAUCACCUGGACACUCCUCUACAGCCAUUUCUGUGUGUAUUUUAGGCCAUGACGUCCUCGUUUUUACUUCACCUUUCAGUAAUUUUUUUUUUAAUCCCUUUGGCCUUUUCCAGAAAUGUGUUGGGAUCUCCUGUACUCUGAAGUUUCUCCUCCCAGUAAUUUUUUUUUAAUUUAAUUUUAUUUUUUAAACUUUACAUAAUUGUAUUAGUUUUGCCAAAUAUCAAAAUGAAUCCGCCACAGGUAUACAUGUGUUCCCCAUCCUGAACCCUCCUCCCUCCUCCCUCCCAGUAAUUUUAUCAGGUUUAUACAUUUAUUAUGUGUUUACUAUUAUUUGAGUGGAGUUUUGGAGGGAAGGAAGCAAACAAUAUGAGCUUAGUUUAUCAUGCUAUAAGAAUAGACAGCUUGUUCAAUUUAAAAUCACACAUAUGAAGAAAUCAAGAGGGAGCUAGAAGAACGCUAAAUGACACAUACUUUCAUGGAAACAAGAAAGACAGGAAUUUUUGCAAAAUUAUUUUGAGUUACCUAAUAUUUCUGAUACUUAAUUUCCCAUCUGGAAAAUAAUGUGGAUGAAUAAGAUGACUUCUAAGUUCUUUUCAACUUGACUAUUUUAUCCUUAUAUUGAUUUUAUUUUCCCUACAAAUCUCUACCUUCCUUUCUACUGAACUAUGCUGGCUUAAUCUGUUUCAGUAAAACAUAAUCUACACAUACUGCUUUCUCUUUGUAUGCCCACUAUGUUCAUGAUGGCACAUGAAAUUUAAAAGAUCUCAUAGAAACAUUUGUCAGUCUUCAAAAAUGAUCACCUUUCCCCCAAGGUUAGCAAUUAUUAAUAAAAAGGAAAGAACUUAUAAGCCUUUUAUCUUAAUUCUUAUUGAAGAUUAGGUUCAACAAUGAUCUUUUUAGUUAAUGUAUUUGGGGAAUACUUAGUUGUGUAUUUGGGGAAUAUAUGCAUAAUUUGACCUAAUAAAACUGGCAGAAUAUUACUUUCUUCAGAAACGUUUACUUAUUAUCCACAGCUGAGUUUGAUAUUCCUUCAAAAGCAAACAUCCAGGAUUCACCAUGAUUUUUCCUGUUCCUCCAUAUUCAACAUCCAGUCAAUUCACUGGCAAAUAUGCUUUGCUACUAAUGUAUAUUUAUCCAGUCUUUUCUUGACAUCAAUACCUAUACUACCCUCUGUUACUUCUCUACCUCUAGCCUCCUGCCCCAGUCUUCUAACUGGUUCCAUUGUUUUCACUCUUUUGACCUACAUUACACUAUUUUGAAAUGGUUUCCCAACACACAUAGAAAGAAAUCAAAACUCCUUCCAUGACCUGUAAUACCUUCCUAAUCUGGCCUGGUUUCUUCGCACCUCAUCUUCUAUUCAUCUCUCUCGCCGUCUUUUGCUCCAUUCCCAUGAUACUGGCUCUGGUGUUUAUCUUACUGUCAAACCCUUUGCAUCUUGUGGUCAAGCAGUUGUGGUAUCCUCUGACUAGAAUGGUCUCUCAGAUCUUUCUAUGGCUUAUCUCUUUUCCAUUUACUUCUUUGUUCCAAUGUAUCACCUCAGAAAGGACUUCAAAAAGAGCCAAGCUUGUUGUUCAGAUCUAGGUUCUCUGUUCUCUUUGUCCUAAUUUAUUCUUUUCAUGCAUUUAUCAUUUUGUGGUAGCACAUGAAUUAUUUAUGAAUAUGUAUUCAUUUAUAUUUUACUUCUCUUUAUCUCCAUCAAUCUCUCUCCAUCUCUCUCUCUUCCUCUUCUUCUCUUCCAUAGAAAGGUAAGGCAAAGGUUUUGCCUGCUUCCUUCUCUGACGUAUAGCUUUUUCUAGUACAUGCAAUAGUGCUGAAAAAAUAACGAGCUUAAAAAUGUGAUUCUUUUGAGACGAGGCAGAGUCAAGACGGUAGACUAGGAAGACUCUGAGCUCACAUUCUCCUUUGAACACAUCAAAACUACAACUAAAUACUGAGAAACUCUCACUGAGAAUAACCUGAACUAGCAGAAGCACUCUUCUAUAAAUAAGACUGUAAAGAAAGAAUCAAAUGAAGUCUAGUAGGAGGUGAGAAGACAUAUGGUUAUGUAUAGAGAAAAUAUAUAGUAAAGGCAGUGGAUCAAUCACUUAAAUAAGCUAGCAUGGAGGAUAAAUGUUAAAAAUUGUAAAGUCAACUGUAACUACAAUUAACAGUUAAGGGACAGACAUGAAGAUGUAAAGUAUGGCAUCAAACACAAAAAAACACAGGGGAAGGGUGAGUUAAAAAUGUAAAUCUUUUAGAAUGCGUUUGAACUUAAAUGACUUAUCAGUUUAAAACACAUAGAUAUAAUUAUAGGUAAACAAAUAUGAACUUCAUGGUACCACAAAUCCAAAAUCUACAAGAGAUACACAAAAAUUGGAAAGCAAGGAACCCAAAUAUAAAACUAAAGAAAAUCAUCUGACCAUAACAAGAGACAAAAAAAAAAAAAAAAAAAAGACUACAAAAAUACCCACAAAACAAGUAACAAAA
Bubalus bubalis (water buffalo) is the source of this 6810-nucleotide long non-coding RNA. RefSeq lists it as uncharacterized. The transcript is spliced from 2 exons. NCBI's taxonomy places the organism in Eukaryota, Metazoa, Chordata, Mammalia, Artiodactyla, Bovidae. The record is from RefSeq and is a predicted model, not a curated record.